GAUAUUGCACAAUGGGGGAAACCCUGAUGCAGCGACGCCGCGUGAGCGAAGAAGGCCNNNGGGUCNUCAAGCUCUGUUUCGAGNGACNAUAAUGACGGUACCUCGGGAGGAAGCCCCGGCUAACUACGUGCCAGCAGCCGCGGUAAUACGUAGGGGGCAAGCGUUAUCCGGAAUCACUGGGCGUAAAGGGUGCGUAGGCGGCCAAUAAAGUCAGAGGUGAAAGGCUACGGCUCAACCGUAGUAAGCCUUUGAAACUUAUUGGCUUGAGUGCAGGAGAGGAGAGUGGAAUUCCUAGUGUAGCGGUGAGAUGCGUAGAUAUUAGGAGGAACACCAGUGGCGAAGGCGACUCUCUGGACUGUAACUGACGCUGAGGCACGAAAGCGUGGGGAGCGAAC
Molecule: ribosomal RNA, 395 nt
Filed under: uncultured bacterium
Lineage: Bacteria
Description: partial 16S ribosomal RNA
Rfam family: Bacterial small subunit ribosomal RNA
Source: RNAcentral